GGCAACGGGGAACCCAAAGUUACGCAGAGACAGCCUGGGGGGAAGGAGACCUGGCAGACAGCACCGAGGGAGCUCCGGGGAAGUUUGCGCGGGGAGCGGGAGCUGCUCCCACCGGGCACCGCCGGUGCUCGCCUCCCGGGGGGGCCCGGGGGGGGGGGGGGGGCGGGCUGCCCUGCGGCCGGGGACCUGCCAGGGGAGGGGGGGGCUCGGCGGGACCCGGCCCUCGGGGAGGGGGGCGCCCCCCGCUUUUCCUCCCCCAAAUUUGAGGGAAACGGGACGCGCGGCCCGGGGGUGGGGGGGCGCGGAUCCCGGGGAAGGAGGGCGCGGGGCCGGGCCAGGGGGCUGCCGCCCGGGGCGGGGGAAGGCGAGGCGGGCCGGGGGGCGCCGCGCCUGCCCCGGGAGCGCGGCAAAGCGGCGGCAGGGUGGGCAGGAAGGCGGGCGGGCGGGCGCUCGGUCCCUCAGUCAGUCCCUCAGUCAGGCACUCACCCGUGCGGCGGGUGUGGCGGCGGGGAGAGGAGCGGCUGGGCGCGGCCCGCCCCCCACGGCCGCCGGUCGCUCAGGGCCGCUGCCUGGCCGGGACCGGCCCUUUCAUUCGGGGCAGGGGACGCUGCGCCGCCGCCGCCGCCGCCGAGCGCAAGCACGCACGCACGCACGCACGCACGAGCGGGAGGACGCACGCACGCACGCACGCACGGCGCGCUGGGGCUGAGACAGCGCGACGCUGCGGGGCGGCGCCCGAUUGGCGCGCGAGGCGGGAGCACGCCGGCUCCGCCGGGCCUCCUGCGCACGCGCGGCGCCGCGCGCCCGCUCUCCCUUCCCCCCCCCCCCCCGCUUCCUCCCGCGGCCCGCUCACUGCGCCGGGCCCGGGGCCGAACGAGCCGGCAGGGCGGCAGGGGGGCGGGGCGCUCCGCGCCUGCGCAGAGCUCACCCGCAGCCGUUGGGCGGCGGAGGGGCGCCGCGGGCGCGCGGCAAGAGGCUGGCGCGUGCGCAGAGCGGCGGGGCGGCAGCGCGCGCGGGGGAUGGCGCAUGCGCACGGCCGACUGGGGGGGGGUUGUUCUGAGGAGGCUGAGGCGGAGGGGCCGUGGGGCUGGCGGUCGGCGCCGGUUCGGGGCUGCGAGGGUGCUGCUGAGGGGUUAG
This 1137-nucleotide long non-coding RNA is filed under the name Anser brachyrhynchus (Pink-footed goose). RNAcentral's name for it is "lncRNA (ENSABRG00000012415.1)". The record is from RNAcentral. Lineage: Eukaryota; Metazoa; Chordata; Aves; Anseriformes; Anatidae.